AGGUGCGAUCAUACCAGCAUUAAUGCACCUGAUCCCAUCAAAACUCCGCAGUUAAGCGUGCUUGGGUGAGAGUAGUGUUAGGAUGGGUGACCUCCUGGGAAGCUGAUGAGUCGAUAUUU
RNAcentral lists this ribosomal RNA (119 nucleotides) under Vigna radiata var. radiata (mung bean). Lineage: Eukaryota; Viridiplantae; Streptophyta; Magnoliopsida; Fabales; Fabaceae. The record is from RNAcentral.